CCUACGGGUGGCUGCAGUGGGGGAUAUUGGACAAUGGGGGGAACCCUGAUCCAGCGACGCCGCGUGAGUGAAGAAGUAUUUCGGUAUGUAAAGCUCUGUCAGCAGGGAAGAAAGAAAUGACGGUACCUGACUAAGAAGCCCCGGCUAACUACGUGCCAGCAGCCGCGGUAAUACGUAGGGGGCAAGCGUUAUCCGGAAUUACUGGGUGUAAAGGGAGCGUAGACGGUUAAGUAAGUCUGGAGUGAAAGGCCGGGGCCCAACCCCGGGACUGCUCUGGAAACUAUUGAACUUGAGUGCAGGAGAGGUAAGCGGAAUUCCUAGUGUAGCGGUGAAAUGCGUAGAUAUUAGGAGGAACACCAGUGGCGAAGGCGGCUUACUGGAAUGUAACUGACGUUGAGGCUCGAAAGCGUUGGGAGCAAACAGGAUUAGAUACCCUUGUAGUC
RNAcentral lists this ribosomal RNA (443 nucleotides) under uncultured bacterium. RNAcentral's name for it is "partial 16S ribosomal RNA". It matches the Rfam family "Bacterial small subunit ribosomal RNA", at positions 338 to 795 of the family's 1533-position model. The record is from RNAcentral.